GACGAACCGUGCGAACGUUGUUCGGAAUCACUGGGCUUAAAGGGCGCGUAGGCGGACCGCCAAGUCCGGGGUGAAAUCGUCCGGCUUAACCGGACAAGGGCCUCGGAUACUGGCGGCCUGGAGGGAGGUAGGGGCACGCGGAACUUCCGGUGGAGCGGUGAAAUGCGUUGAUAUCGGAAGGAACGCCGGUGGCGAAAGCGGCGUGCUGGAUCUCUACUGACGCUGAGGCGCGAAAGCCAGGGGAGCGAACGGG
RNAcentral lists this ribosomal RNA (253 nucleotides) under uncultured bacterium. RNAcentral's name for it is "partial 16S ribosomal RNA". It matches the Rfam family "Bacterial small subunit ribosomal RNA", at positions 524 to 776 of the family's 1533-position model. The record is from RNAcentral.